Molecule: ribosomal RNA, 254 nt
Filed under: uncultured bacterium
Lineage: Bacteria
Description: partial 16S ribosomal RNA
Rfam family: Bacterial small subunit ribosomal RNA
Source: RNAcentral
CACGUAGGGCGCGAGCGUUGUCCGGAAUUAUUGGGCGUAAAGAGCUCGUAGGCGGUGUGUCGCGUCGGCCGUGAAAACUUGCAGCUUAACUGUGGGCGUGCGGUCGAUACGGGCAUCACUGGAGUUCGGCAGGGGAGACUGGAAUUCCUGGUGUAGCGGUGAAAUGCGCAGAUAUCAGGAGGAACACCGGUGGCGAAGGCGGGUCUCUGGGCCGAUACUGACGCUGAGGAGCGAAAGCGUGGGGAGCGAACAGG